UAAGGUUAUCUUCCUUUUUCUCUCAAGAGCGGUUCCUGAUGGGGAUUUCUCCCGUAACCGCCAGCGUGCAGGAGACGGGAGGCGGCGCGGCCAUGGCGCCGGCGGGCGCGGCGCACGGCCAUGGUGUGGGGCGCGUCGCAGAGCAGGCGGACGGGUGCGGGGCGCGUCGGGCUGGCACGACCAGGGGCCACGACUCUCCUUGGACCGAGGAUCCACGGACGUCGGUGGAGGGCGGGUCAACGCGACCACGUAGCCGCAGUCGUGGGCUCUGCCACGCCGCGAUGAUGCAGGCUGCGGCCGCACAAUCAUCUUCAUACCUCCGCGGUCCAACGAUAGGACAGAUACGCACGACGACGAAUGUCCUUGUGGAGAAGAAGUAAGGCGUCGUACAUAUUCUUCUCCGUCAGUUUCUCUGUGAUUUGCUUCGUGGCUUCCUGUUCGUGGUAAAGCAAAUAUUCUGUAGUCAUGAACAGAAUUAGGAAACUAGCACCUUGUUUGUUCGUAGCUAUUAGAUGAAGACACUGAUAUUUGUGGGGUGCUUCACGCCGAUUCAGUUCUUCUUCCACUUUUGAUUUUCCUCUCAUGGAGUUCACUGGAGUUGAAAAUCGCUGGAGUUGCCGCCGCUCUCCGCCGAGGGCACUGCAAUUCGUGUGGGCUCCUCCGACGUCUGGUACAGUAGUGACGCCGACCACCGCUAGGCAGCGGGCACCGCGCGUGGGAGGUGCCUGCCGGAUUUUACCAUCGGCAAUGAAUUUUGUGCGCGUGGGAGGUGCCUGCCGGAUCUUAAAAUCGCUAGACGCGAUGAGGUUUAACUCGUACCCUACUAAACUAUGGAGAUAUCCGUCAAAAUAGUUUUCAUAGCGAAACUUAUGAUGACAACAAAGAGAAAUAACUUCUCUUUACCAUAUGCAACGGAUAUGGCAAGCACAUUCUCUGUGUAUCAUCUGGAUUGUACUACACAUAUGACACAACCGUAGCACAUGUUGCAUACGAGAUAGUUUUCCAGAGUGUCUUGUAGAUGACAAACUUGACAUACU
This is a long non-coding RNA of Triticum dicoccoides, 1037 nucleotides long. RefSeq lists it as uncharacterized. The transcript is spliced from 2 exons. The record is from RefSeq and is a predicted model, not a curated record. Lineage: Eukaryota; Viridiplantae; Streptophyta; Magnoliopsida; Poales; Poaceae.